GCUAAAACACCGAUAUGUGUAGCUGAGCUAAGGCUGUUAUGGACAUUAAAGAUUAAUAAUUAAAUACUCAAAGUGUUCAGAUACUGCAGACUCUUAGCUGAACGCUUAUCAGAGAAAGGUCGAGCUGGCCCGAGCUCCAUGGAAGAACCAUUAUAUUGCACCCACAGGGAAAUAAGUCUUGUCUCCUCACUGCAACUCCCGUACGGACUUGGGAGAGGCGAAGGUCGGGAGCCAUGCGUCCUCCGAAACACGACCCAACCAACCCGCACUGCUUCUUGACACAAUGCCCCCUUAACCCGGAAGCCAGCCACACCAAUAUGUCGGAGGAAACACCGUACACCUGGCGACCGUGUCAGCAUGCACUGGCCCCGCCCGCCACAGGAGUCGCUAGAGAGCGAUGGGACAAGGACAUCCCGGCCGGCCAAACCCUCCCCUAACCUAGACGACGCUGGGCCAAUUGUGCACCGCCCCAUGGGUCUCCCGGUCUCGGCCGGCUGCGACAGAGCCUGGACUCAAACCAGGAUUUCUAGUGGCACAGCUAGCAACUGCAAUGCAGUGCCUUAGACCACUGCGCAACUCGGGAGGCCCUAAGCAUGUAAAACUUGUAGUGUACUCAAGGCUUAAAAGGGCUUCUGAAAUGAGUAAUUUCCACUUUGAAACUUCUGACUUGAUUUUCCUGUACAAAAAAAAUAUAUAUAAAGGGGCGGCAGGGUAGCCUAGUGGUUAGAGCGUUGGACUAGUAACCGGAAGGUUGCAAGUUCAAAUCCCUGAGCUGACAAGGUACAAAUCUGUCGUUCUGCCCCUGAACAGGCAGUUAACCCACUGUUCCUAGGCCGUCAUUGAAAAUAAGAAUUUGUUCUUAACUGACUUGCCUAGUUAAUAAAAAAAAAUAUUAACCCCUACAAAAUGUAUUAUAAAUACAAAAUGUAUUAUAAUCCAUAUAAUUAAAAGUUCCUUUCUGCUGGACUAUUUUCCUGCAGUAACAAACUCAGCUUAGCUCAAAUUAAGAUCCUACAUCUGUAACUCAAAUUGACCUCUAUUUCUCAGAUCGGGAUGUAACAUUCUUUUUGUCAUCCAGUGCUCGUUGUCUAGAUGUUUGUUUCUCUUGAGCCACAGUGAUCCUCUGGCCCACAGAUCCACAGCUAAAACACAUCAGUAGGAACAAGAGGUCAACACACUGGUAGAGUUAGCCUAAAUUGGUUCACAAUUAAGAGAAUGAGGUGGAUGCAGUAUAUAUUAUUUUACAGUCAAACUUACCAUCCUACAAUACCGAAUCAUCUUUAUGAUAAUUUUCCCUCGCCAAGGCUUCCUCUGCAAAAUAACAAACAAAACAGGAUAGUUGGAGCGCUCAAAGUCCCAUUGCCAUCGCUAGAUAGACAUACCACCAUAUUGCUAACAUCUUAAAUAUAAUACUGUUUAUGCCAUUAAGCAAACUCAUUUAUCCAAAGUGACUUACUGUACAGUCAUGCAUGCAUACAUUUUUCAUUUGGGUGGCCCAGGAGGUUAAAGUUAUAUUCCUAACUCCUAUUUGGUCCCUUCAGAUCAAACAUAGAAGUGGAAGAUGCUGGGCAUCAUACCUUCCUUCCCCUGCCCCUCUUCAGCUGCGGUUGUGUUAACAGCAGAGUAGGAGACACCUGAGAGACAUCUAAUGAUACUUCUGGUACUAUUUCUGCAUCAUGCAGUCUAGAAGUAGCUCUAUGACUUGCCUGUGGAUGCAGAAACUCCAUUUGAUGUGUCAGUGGCUGAAGAGAGAGAGAGAGAGUUUAGCUUAAUCAUACACAGAUCCUGUUUGUUGUGGUCAAGUAAAGGAAACACUUACUAGGUCCCACUUCUCUCUGGUUUCUCCAGAAUUCUAGUAAUGGAAAACAGAGAAGAGAUAUUUGAAUUAGGUCAGUAAUCUCAGCAGUGACUAAUGCAAGUAAUACACAUUUAACAUGUUCAUCUCCCUUCCACCGGAGCAAAGGGACAUGAUCGUGAGGAAUCGUGAUGGCAGCGAAAACAAUGAAUGGAAUUUAAAUGAACAUUACUACAAAACAAUGAAUGGAAUUUAAAUGAACAUUACUACAAAACAAUGAAUGGAAUUUAAAUGAACAUUACUACAAAACAAUGAAUGGAAUUUAAAUGAAC
This is a long non-coding RNA of Oncorhynchus tshawytscha (Chinook salmon), 2127 nucleotides long. The record is from Ensembl. Lineage: Eukaryota; Metazoa; Chordata; Actinopteri; Salmoniformes; Salmonidae.